GAUGAAGAAUGUAGCGAAAUGCGAUAAGUAAUGUGAAUUGCAGAAUUCAGUGAAUCAUCGAAUCUUUGAACGCACAUUGCGCCCAUUAGCAUUCUAGUGGGCAUGCCUGUUCGAGCGUCAUUUCAACCCUUAAGCCCUGUUGCUUAGCGUUGGGAGCCUACAGUACUGUAGCUCCCCAAAGUUAGUGGCGGAGUCGGUUUCACACUCUAGACGUAGAAAUUUUUUCUCGUCUGUAGUUGAGUCGGUCCCCUGCCGUAAAACACCCAAUUUAUCAAGGUUGACCUCGGAUCAGGUAGGAAUACCCGCUGAACUUAAGCAUAUCAAUAAGCGGAGGA
This 335-nucleotide unclassified non-coding RNA is filed under the name soil metagenome. RNAcentral describes it as "partial contains 5.8S ribosomal RNA, internal transcribed spacer 2, and large subunit ribosomal RNA". The stretch from base 1 to 120 matches the Rfam family "5.8S ribosomal RNA", at positions 35 to 154 of the family's 154-position model. The record is from RNAcentral.